This 41488-nucleotide long non-coding RNA is filed under the name Ricinus communis (castor bean). Its description in RNAcentral is "long non-coding RNA (RCOM_LNC003028)". The record is from RNAcentral. Lineage: Eukaryota; Viridiplantae; Streptophyta; Magnoliopsida; Malpighiales; Euphorbiaceae.
CAAUUGUCAGUUUGAUGCACCUAGACUAGAUAAGGAGUUUUCUAUAAACAAAAUCACAUUUUCACCUUUUUAUAAUACCUAUUUAUUUUAAUGUAUAGUCUUAAUAUACUAACUAACUAUAGUGCUUUUCAAAUUCAUAGAUAUAAUGUGCUCGUAUGUACUAUAGGGAUGCAAUGUCAAUUGAAAAAUAACUUAAUGUCUAAACAUAUGUCUUUUAAUUUUUAGUCUUCUCUUAGAAGAAAUAUCACUUUUAAUUUAGUGAAUACGUUAUAGUAUAUAUAGUGACAAAUAUAUAAUUAUCUUUCUAUUUCAUGGACAUAACAAAUGCAUAAUAUGUUAGGGGUACAAAAUUAAAGUAGUCUUUAUGUGUAUAAUGACCCCGUAUGUUGUCAUAUUUUUUUUACUGUUAUAAAUGAAGCAGAGGAGAUUCACUUUAUAGGUAGGAGGCAUUCCAAUAUUUAAUUUCAUAUUUAUUUUUGAGAGAGAUCUGAAUUUAAAGUCUAAUUUAAAUUAAAAUAUAUUUCUAUCAAAUGCUAAAUCUAUGAAUAUACAUAUAAUAUAUUUUAAAUCAAAAUAGAUUAUCUAAUAAUAUUAAGAUGAUGCGAUUGUUUACAUUUUGAUGUAGAAUUCAAAUUUAAAAGAUAAGACUAAAAGAAAACCAACAAUUCAAGUUCUUGUUGGCAUGUGAGGUUAAAUUUUUCCUUCCACUCCAUCAUUAUCUAAGUCUUCAAAAUCAUCCAUAUUUUUCCAAUCUUUUUAUUUUUAGUUGUUAAAAUCUAACUUUCUUUUCCAUGGUUGAACUAAGACUAAUCAAUGUAAAAUACUAGCUAAAAGAAAAUGAAGAAUAAGUUUAAGUAGUCAACAUGGGGAAAUACCUAAAUUAGUUGUGCAUAAAUUUCUCUUCAAAUUAAUCAUUUUGCAUAAGUAACUAAAAAAAAGAACGAAAGCUUUUUGUACCAUACUCAUUAUUCCUUAACUAUGUAUGAUAACUUAAUUAAUAGUGAUUGAUAGAGCAUAAUACAAUAAUGUAAUCCACUAAAUAAUAGAAUAAAUGAGAUAAUAAAAUGUAAUGUAUUUAUCAUUCCAUUAUCAUGUUUGAUUAUAAUAUAUAUAUAUAUAUAUAUAUAUAUAUAUAUAUAUAUAUAUAUAUAAUUUAUUUAUAAUAGUUGGUGUAAAAAUAAAAUAUUAAAAUAAAAUAUUUAAAAAUAAUAUUAAGAUUAUUCUUUUCUUAAAAUAUCACAUGUCGCUGGAAUGCGUUCACUAGUGUCUAGAAUUCAGUUAUCGAUCGAUGGGAUCCGAUGGUCAGUCGCUGGAAUUUAGUAUCUGAUUACCGGAUGAUGGUGGUUGGUGGUGGUUAAAGUGUCUAAAUUAUAUUGAUAAAAAAUAAAUAUAAAAUAAAUAUAUUAUAAAUAAUUAUGAUUACAUAGAUUUUUUUUUAUGUAUUAAACAUUACAUCAAAUUAAGAAUAAUUGAUUACAUGAUGUAUAUAUAAUUACAUUGCAUCAAAUUUUUUUAUUAACAAACAAAGUAAUGAAGCAUGUAAAUAUAAUCUAAAUUUUUUAUCUUUACAUGUAACAAUAUAUUUCCAUAGUUAGAGCAUUUCUAAUGGUGCUAUUUAUUUUAAAAGACCAUAGUUUUUAUGAUAAAAAAUAUUCUAAGAAAUAUUAAAAUAUAAAAAAUAAUAUAUUUUGUUUAAGUUUAAUGCCUUCCUUAUAUUUUAUUUUACUUUUGUUUCAAUAAGUAUUAAUAAUUGUACUUUUUUUAUUUUUAUAUUUUUAGUAAUAGAAAAAUGAGAAUUACAAAUUUCAAUUAAUUAAAUGAAUAGAACUUCUUAAUGUAUUUAUUAAAUAUAAAGUAAAAAAUAUUUAAUUUUUUUAUGUAUAGAAAGCCAAAUCAACUAUUUACUUUAUAUUUAAGAAAUAAAGACUGUUUGAAGCGUUAUUUUAUUAUAUAUUUUUUAAAAUAAAAAAUUAAUAUAUAUAAAAAAUGUAUUAGAAAUAUUAUCAUGAUAGGUAUAGAGCUCCUUCUCAAGCCAUUUUAAAGGUUUUUGGGUGAAUUAAUCAAGGUGCAAAGCACCAACUCUUCUAUAUAUUUGUCAUGAUGCUACAACAAUGUCAAUACUACAUCAUGGUUUUGCCUAUAAACAACACAGCAUCGACAACUAACCUCAACAUGCAUGUGGGAACAAUCGGCUAAGGAUGGGAGCUCCUUUGACUACAUCUACACAUAUACCCAUAAAUUAUUUGAUUAUAUAUUAUUAUAUACUCCAUAUAUUAUUAUUUUUUAAAUGUUUUUGUAACUUAUCAUCAUAAAAGUCAUUGAUCAAGACCCAAUUUUCUAGUGCUAUGUAUAUAGAUUGAAUCUGAGUAAUUUAUCUUCUACAUUAUGACUUCUUUAUAAUUAUAUUUUAUAUAGAAAUAGUUAUAUUAUAUUAAAGUAAUUUAAAAUAAUAAUAUAUUUUCAAAUUAUUACUGCAUCUUUAAAUUUACACAAGUAAUAAUUUACUAGUAUGAACGCUAUUUUGUCGUUAAUAAGAAAAUAAUAAUUCUUGUAAUUGUUUUUAUAGUAAUAAAAUUAAUUUAAUUUCAAAAAUAUAAUUAUAGAAGUUGUGAUGUAUGUAGAAAAAGUAGGGCCAAAAUUCCUCAUAAUUUUGUGAUCCAAUAAACAUAAGAAAGAAAGGAAGAAACUUCUGACACCUAACAUAUGUUGUCAAGAUUUCUGAUGGGUAAUAAUUGAAAACAUCAAUGGAAAUAAGUGAAUUCCAGUGGGGAGUAGGUACUUAAAUUCUAAAUAUAAAACUCCAUUUUUGUGGGCUCCAAAAUAAAGAUCAAUGAGUGUAAGUCCGUUCAGUAUUUUGCGUAUAAAAAUGUACACACAAACAAGUAUUUCCCUAGGACAGGCUUUUUGGAGGCUCUAGGGGGAGGGCUGAUCCUUGGUGCUGGAGUAGUAUGAUUAGAGGUAGAGAUGUGCUGCAAAGAGGUUUGAGAUGGAAUACUGUGAGUGGUGAACAAAUUUCUUUAUGGACAGACAAGUGGAAUCCGGAUGUGAAGGAGUUCAAAGUGUCCUCUAUGCCGCCAACAAAUGGGGGUCCAACAAGAGUAGCAGAGCUUAUUGAUUGGGGUCGUAGAUCUUGGAAUGUGCCUCUAAUGGAAUAAUUCCUGAAUCAGGAAGAUAUCAGUGGUAUAUCAAAAAUUCGAACCGGUGCGAGGCACCUCCCUGAUAGGCUCAUCUGAUUCCCAGAUAAAAGAGGCAUUUUUUCAAUCAAAUCUCGUUAUAAUCUCUUGGCUAACUCUCGUCCUCAGAAUUUAGACCCUUCUCCUUCAAAUGUCAUCCACUCCGAUAAAUUGAUUUGGAAAUCAAGCUGGAAACUCAAAGCCAAUCCUAGAGUUAAAACUUUCACGUGGCGUGCAGUCUGCAAUGCUCUCCCAUCUUUAGCAGCCUUGAAGCACAUGAAAUGCAUUAGCUCGGAGUAUAUGCUUGUUGUGUGGGAAGAUUAAUGAGACUAUAGAGGACCUCUUAUUUUUUUUUGUGAUCAAGCAACUCCUACGUGGUUUGCUAGCCCUAUGCAGUAUAGACCCAAUCCAAUUGGGUUUGGCAGUCUGCAAGAAUGGUGGCGCAAGAUGGUGGAAUUUGACGAAGAAGAUAGAGCUGAUAAUUCAUUGUCCAUUAUAGCAAAAAUUUGCUAGUAUAUUUGGAAAAGUAGAAACGGUUUUAUGUUUGAAAAGCAAGUUCCAAAUCCAAUCUGGAAUUGUAUCUAGAGCUCAAGAGUAUAUGAAAGAAGCGGAAAGUCCACAAAUUACUGAGAGCGUCAGUGAGAGAAUGAAUGUGAAUCACUAUGUUGUUGUUGCAAGUAAUCGGGCUCCUCCUCCACUGAAUUACAUCAAAAUUAAUUGUGAUGUUUCCUUUAUCAAGGAAGGUUAUAUGUUAGGAUAUAGUGUUGUGUGUCGUGAUCAUAGGGGGAGAAUAGUUGAUGGUUGUGUUGGAAGGCAAGGGUUUAGUUCGGUCCUGCAGGGGGAAACGAGAGCUUUAGUGGAAGCCAUGCUUUUUGCUGUGUCCAGAAAAUUUAAACAGGUCAUUUUCGAGACUGACUCUUUUAUGCUAGUGCAAGCCAUUCAGAGCAGAGACACGGAGAUCAUUUGGGCAAUUGAAGCCGAUGUACUCUUCAUUAAAUCUUUACUGCUAUUCAACUCCUCCUAGAGUAUUUUGUACAUCAGUAGAACUGCUAAUUCUGUUGCGGAUUGGUUGGCCAAACAAACUAGGCUAUAUGUUUGCCCUGUGUGGCAAAUCAAUCCCCCAAUGGCAUUCUUAUCUCUACUUUCCAGGGAUUUUUAUUUUGUGCAGUAAUACAUCUUCUGUUGGUUAAAAAAAACAAGAAGAAAAACAAGUCAAACAAGAAAAGCCUCGGGCGCAAUGCCAGCCGUAUAAUUUUGAAAUGCUUUUUCCCCGUCGAUUCACUCUCCUCCUCCACUCUACUAAUAUCUAUAUAUUAUAAUAUUUAAUUUGGUAAUUGCGAAUUCAAUUCUGUUCCUUCAUGACUCAUUUGAUAUUUGGGGUUCAAGGAUGAAAAGCAAAAAAUUGUUUUCUUAAAAAAUAUUUAAUUAAAGGUUAAAAUUAUAUUUUAUUAUCUCCAACAUGAGUUUUCUUUUAGAAGGUAUUAUUUUUUAUAUUUUAAUUUAUUCUAGUUUAGAAUAUAAAUUCUCUUCUGCUAUUUUUAUUUUUAAAAUACAAACAAAUAAUUUAAAUUUUUUUGAUUUAUACAUUAAUCUAAUUUAAUUUUUAAAUACAUAUCAAUUUAAUCACUAAUUACUUUCUACAUCUCAUACUGAUUCUUAUUUUAGUAAUUUAUUUAAAUUAAAAAAUAUUUAAUACAUUUAAUUAUAGAAAAAUAGAUAAAUUAUAUCCCAUUACUUUUCAUAGAUAUUGUAAAAUUUAAUAUUAUUUUAAAUAUAUAAAAAUAACAUAUUUAAAAAAACUAUUUAAAAAAUAAAUUAAUAUAAAAUAAAAAAAUAUUAUUUUAAAAGAUAUUAGGAAAGCUAGUGGAAAAGAGUUGCUAGCUAUUAAGUUUUUAAUAGCUUUUAACACUUUUAAUAAUUAUAGUUUAUAUCAGCUCUAAAUUAUAAUUUUUUGUAAAUAAUUUAAUUAAUUUAAAUACGAUGAUGAAAUUAGCUUUUUAUUUUAAAAUUAUAAAUUAAAAGACUAAAAGUUGCGUGCAGUAUGUCACGGGCUUGGUUUUUUCUACCAACGAACCGUGCGGCACUAGGUACUUUCUCAUGGAAACAAGUAAGCUAGUCAGCCUUACUCUUUAAAUGCUAGGCAAAAUGCUAGCUAGGAUGGCAAGAAGAACAAAAGAGAGCUAUAGACAACUUUGAGAGCUUUUGUAAAGAGAGUUUUCUCACUCUUUUACUUGAUUAUGCUUGAUUUGCUUGAUGCUUACAAAUGAAUUCUCUAAGCUAUAUAUAGGCCUCCACCUCCUCAAUGGACGGUGAGGAUACAUUCGAUCUAAUGGCUAGAUUAAGUAUCUAGAAUGUUCUACACACUUCCAUACUUAUCUACACAUUAUACAAGCUUCUAGAUUAUUCUAGAAUGUUCCAGAUGCUUCCAGAUGAUUCUAGAAUGUUCUAGAAUCCUUCCUUGCUUUGUAGCGAACUCUGGAGGCUUCUUGGGCCUUUGAACCUUCGUGCGAGAAGGGAAAAUAUGCGGGCUGUGACAUUCUCCCCCACUCAUUCUGGCGACGCCCUAGUCGCGUCCCCGCUGUAUGCCUCGAUUAUGCCCUUGAAGUUCCUUGGCAAAUCUUUGGCCUUGAUGGGGAAGGAGCUUUACCAUCACUAAGCCUCCCUCCUCAAACUCUGAGUGACUNNNNNNNNNNNNNNNNNNNNNNNNNNNNNNNNNNNNNNNNNNNNNNNNNNNNNNNNNNNNNNNNNNNNNNNNNNNNNNNNNNNNNNNNNNNNNNNNNNNNNNNNNNNNNNNNNNNNNNNNNNNNNNNNNNNNNNNNNNNNNNNNNNNNNNNNNNNNNNNNNNNNNNNNNNNNNNNNACCGACGGCUUGUCUUGUUCCACCUGGUCUUGGUCCAACGAAGGAAAGUUAGUAUUAGUGGUGGAAGCUAACUUUGCCUUGCUACUUAGCGCAUCGGCCACUAAGUUUGCGUUUCCCGGUUUGUACUCCUUCGCAAAAUCGGACUCUGCAAGGGAUGCUUGCCAUCUUACUUGCUUCGGAGUUGGCUUCUUUUGCUUGAGUACCGGUGGUUCACACGGAGCCUUGGAUGGCCUAGUGUGGCUAGCAUCCAACAACUCUUUUGGUUGCCUCCACAACUCUUCUAACUCAGGGGGUGCCACGUUAUAAGGGACUGCUGUAAGCGGCCUCGUACCUUCUACCAGCUCCAUUUUCUUAUCCACCUCUCUCUUCGGUGGGAGCUUCUUCGGUAACUCCGUAGGCAUUACAUUUCCGAACUUAUCUGGGACCCCUGUUAUCUCCUUUGGCACUUCAUCUUAUGGCGAGAUCGCCACUUCUUCCUUUAAUGCCGCAAGGAAUGACGGCUGAGCCUUCUCUACCCACUCAGCUAGUUGCAUGGCCAAGAUCUUCAUGGCUUUUACCUUGGCUUCUCGUUUUAACGGUACCAUGCAAGUAUUCCCUUGCUCCAAGAUACACAUGGUGUUGGCAAAAGGGAGUGGGAAUGCAUUCACUUUAUCCAAGAAUUCUAUGCCAAACACCAUUUUAUAGUCAUCCAUCGUAAUAAUGAAAAAAUCCAAGAGGCCAGACCACUCACCGAGGCUUACAACAGGAGCAAAGGUCUCGAAAUAAUCGAUACCGUAUGCCCGUCUAGUUAAUGGGUGAAUCCCUUUGCAACAAGACGAGCUUUAUAUCUUUCAAUCGAUCCAUCAGACAACUAUUUGAGAGUAUACACCCCCCUCCAACUAUAGGUCAUCCUCUCCCCCAUCAUAAGUAGGGCCUUUCCCUUCAGGCAAUGGAACAAGUUCCCAGGUAUCAUUUGGAGUGCCUCCUUCUCUUCAACCAUAGCCUUUCUCCAUUCAGGAUGAGCAAGGGCCUCCCAUAGACUUUUGGGUUCUUUUGCAGAAGAAAGAGCAAGAGCAAAAGACCUGUAGGAAGGAGAGAGGCCUUCAAAGGAAAGAAUUUGAGUGAUGGGAUGAAUAGUACAAGAACGUUUCCCUUAUCUCAAAGCAAUAGGAAGAUCCAUUUUGGAAUCAGAAGAAGCAGGAGUAACAGGAAAUAACGAAGAAGAUUCAAUAGGAAGGGAAAAAGGAAUACCUGGAUCUUCCGAAGAAGGCAAUUGAUGUGAGGUCAUUGGUUCCGUAAAUGGAACUUUCUUCCUUCGUCUCUCAUACGUUUUUUUUUUGUAGGACGCCCGCCCCCCGAUGGGAUCACUUUUUUAUUCUUCCUUAUGAAUUUGUUUUCUUUGGCUACGUCUACCACAAGGGAUGUCGUAAUCGUGCCUACAUUAUAGCUCCUAAACUGAACGAAUUAUGCUAGAACCAAUCUCAGAAGUCAGAGAGAGAGGAGAGUUGAGGACCAGUAGAUGGGAUGAAAUUGGCAGAUAUUUUGACUUGCUUCGAUUUUCUUCCCCGUUUUGUUCCUUGCGGUACUUUAAGCGAGGAUUUAAAAAAGAGCUGAUCGAUCUUUUUCAUAGAGAUUUCCUAACUACGAAUAUCUUCGGCCGGGAUGGAAAAAAACUAGGUGGCAACUGAGCGGGGAAUCCCCCAAGCAGUUCCAACUCACCCGUACUCAUGAAUAUAUAUAUUUGCAGAUCCAUAGAUGAUGGGCUUCCAUUUUAUGAGUGCUCCUUAUCUUCGGUAUACUCGAUACGCCGAUGAUCUAGCCAAGGGCAAGAGUGUGUUGUCAACUGGUUCAUGAGGUAUAUAAAAUUGGAAUGGAAGACUGGGAUGUCGGGGUUUUCGCGUAUUUCUAAUAUUUUAUAAUUACUUGUAGUAUUUUAAAAUAAUAAUAAUAAAUAUUUUUAGGUAUUUUUUAUUUUUAGAAUUAUAAUAUUUUAUUAAUGAAAUAAUAUAAAAUUUAUUUUUAAAAUAUUUAUUAAUUGAUUUUAGUAUCAUAUAAUAUAUCAAUAUUAUAAAUAUGAUUGACAAUUAACAAAUUAACUAUUAUUUAAUCUAAUGUCAAAAAUAUAAUUUAAAAUAUUAUUUUCUAAAAUUAGAUCCAUUCUCUCUAUAACCUGCGAGAAAUAGAAGAAAUUUUUAGGAAGAUAAAAAAAAAAUCUAUUCUUACUCCGUAAAAAAAUUCUUCUAAAAAUUUCGAAUAUAGUCUUUUUAAAAAAGCGUGUACACUACUUUUGUGUUUACGAGUCAAAGUUUUAACACAAGAAAGUCGAAGUAUAUAUUAAAACUAUAAUUAUAUAUUAUUUUUAAGAUUAUAAUCAUUAUUUAAUUAGAAAAAUAAUUUAUUAAUUAAUAAAUUAAAAAAAAACUACAAAAUUAACCUAAGUUUGAACCUCAUGAGUAAAAGUAAGUACACAUAUUAAAACAAAAAAUUUAUGUAUCAAAAUAUAAUUAUACAUGCUAAAUAAAUUUUAUGUUUUAAAAUUUAAUAUAUAUAUAUAUAUGUAUGUAUAUAUAUUUAUGAUGCGUGUGAUUGAAUAAAUUGCUACAUAAUUUUUCAUAAUAAUUAAUCAUUUAUUGUAAAUAUUAUUAUUUAAUUUAGUUUAAUUCUUAUAUUUUUUGUACAAUAUAGAAUAAUUAAAAAUUUAGAUGAAACUUAUAUGCUAAUGGUCAAUUUACAAAUUAUAGCAACUACUCAAAAAUAUUUAUGAAACACUUGUAUAAUUAACUACUAAUUAAUAACUAUUCAUUACUAACUACCAGCUACCAACUAUCAACUACUAAUUAACAACUAUUCGUUACUAACUACCAGCUACCACCUAUUAACUAUUAUGGGUGAGAAAAAUUUUGAAAGAACCGAAAAUCAAACCAAAUUGAUUCUUAUUUGGUUCGAUUUUGUUAUUUUUUUAAGUUCAGUUUAUUUGGUUUAGCUUUUAUAAAUUGAAAUAAUAUCGGUUCGGUUCAGUUUUAUGCUAAAAAUUUGUACUAAAUGAAAUAAUUGAUUUUUUAAUUAUUUAUUGAAAUUUUUAAAAUUUUUAAUAUAAAAUUUAAUUUUUAAAAUAAUCUUAGAUUCGGUUCGGUUAUUAUGAUUUACACCCUAUUCUGUUAGGUUUAGUUCAUAUUUAUAUACAAUUCAAUUAUUUCGGUUUAUUUAAAAAAUCUGCUUCGGUUCAAUUCAUCUUCAAAACUGGUUCAAUUUAUUUAGUAGACCUAAUUCGGUUGGUUUUGAACUGAAUUGACCGAAUGCUCACCUUAUCAACUAUACUAAUUAUAUGAACUAAACUGACCCUUAAAUUUCUAUAAUAUAUCAUUACUUCUUUUUAUUUUAAGUAUAAAAGAAUCUUUAUCUUUUAAUUUUAGUGAUUUGAUAAUAACAACAAUUCAAAUAUGUAAAUUUUAUGACGCUAAUAUUUUUUAAACUAGAUUAAUCAAUUUUUACACAAUUGUUAUUGAUAAUGAGAAACAAAAUAAUUAUAAAAGAAUAUAUGUAUAUAGAUUUUUGAGAUCUAAAUUUGUUUUGAUAUGUGUCUAUUUUUUUGAUAUAUAAAUUUUUAUUUUGAUAUGUGUACUUAUUAUUGACAUAUUAGAUUUAAGUUUUUUUAUAAUUUUAUAAUUUUUCUAUUAAUUUAUUAAUUAAUAUAUUAUAUUCUCAAUUAAACACUUAUUCUAAUCCUAAAAAAUAGCAUAUUAAUAAUAAUUAGUUUUCUAAUUAGAUAAUAAUUAUUCUAAAAAAUAGCAUACUAAUUAUAUUUUAAUAUUAUAAUAAUUAAUGUAUUAGUUUUUUAAUUAGAUAAUAAUUCUAAUUCUAGAAAAUAAUAUUUUAAAUAUUAUAUUCACUAAUAAAUUAAUUUUUUAAUUAUAUAAUAAUUUUUAAUUGUAAAAUAUAGUAUUAUCAAUUAUAUUAGUAUUAAUUAUAUAAUAUUAAUAUUAAUUAAUAAAUCUUUAAGAAUAUUUUAAUAUUCGUACAUUAAUAAAAGCUUAAAAUAUUAAAAAAAUUAAGAAAAAAAUCAAAAUAGUUAAUCUAUUGUUAUUUUAAAAUAUAAUAAUAAAUACUAAAUAUAAAUAUUUUAUUAAAUUUUAUUUAUAAACUUGAUUUAGUAAUUAUAUAAUAAUAAUGACCGUGUAACGUACGAAUAAAAGACUCAUUCUUAAUUAUUUAUAAAAAAUAUUUAUCCAGAUGUCUAUAGCCAUGUGUAUUUUUUCUUCAAUUUAGUAAUAACAAUAUUUUGAAAAUAACUUUUUAUGAUGGACGCUUUUAAAAAUAACAAUAAUAGAAUUUAAAUUUAUCUUUAUGUAGAUGAGUGAAUACUACCAUAUAAGUCUAUAAUAAUUUUAAUAAUUUAUUAAUAUAAUUAAAUACUAAAUAGUCAGUUAUAUAUAUUAGUUAGUUGUCGAUAAACUAUUUAUAUAAUUUUUAUUUAUUGAUGAUUUUUUAUUCAUUUUUUAAAUUUAUUAAUGGUUAAUAAUUAUGAAAUUCACCUAUAUAAUUUUAACUUAAAUAAAUAAUUAAUAGUUAUAUAUAAAUUUUUCGACUAUCUAAGUUAGCAAAGAACGUAUAAAACUAAUAAAUUAUUUAAAAUAAUAUUGAUUAAUUGUCUAUAAUUAAGAAAUAGACUUUAUAAUAAUAGAGUACCACAAUAGUACUCUAGCAAAACUCUUAAUUUAGUAUUUAAUUAUGUUAAAAAUUUAUUAAAGUUAAAAUAAUACCAAUUUGUAUAUAUUUAUAUAAUAUCACACACCCAUAUAGUAUAUUAGAAUUACUCAUAUAUAUCAACUCAUAAUGAAAGUUACUAAUUUCAAUCUUUUAUCUUUUACUAAUUUCAAUGUGUCUUUUCCUAUAUAAAAAAAACACAAUGUACUCACUCAUUAUCAGAAUAAGACAAUUAUUUCAAUAAAUUUAAACCUAUAAAUGCGUUUAUUUUAUUUUAUGAUUGUGAAAUUGGUUUGAAAAAGAAUAUGAACUCUAUGUUGAAAUCGACUGUUAAGCUGUACACCAAAAGCGAAAGGGCUUCAUUUUGGUGAUGAUUCCCUCAUAGCAUAUUAACUCUAAAAAUGUUUUCUUAGUACAUCCACUUGCAUACAGUCAGCUUCUUUCAAUCUGUACCAUGUUUCAACUGCCAAUAUCACACCAACUGUUGCUGUCAGUACCUGAGUACCACAACCCAUUCCCAUCUUUUCCUUUUCUUUCUCUUUUUUUUUUUUUUUUUUUUUUUUUUUUAUUUCCCUUAAAAAAAUAAUUAAAUUGGAAAUUUCUUAAGAUGAUUUGUUCUUCACAACCUGCUAAUUCCAACAAAACCCUUCACCACUAAUGUGAUAAAUGAGAGGGGAAAUACGGGGAUUUUUCUUAAAGGAAUAUAUAAAAGUCUUGAUGUCCUUUUAUAGAAAUAAUUCUUUCAGUAAAAGAAAAACUACUUCAAGAUUAAAGGGAAAACUUUUAGAAAAAUGGGAAUCCUUUUUAAAUAUUUCUAAAACAUUUAAGGACAAGACAUGACCAAAUUGAGUCAUCAAGCAAUUAGGGCAUGACAAGACAUAGAUAGAAUAUGUAGAUGUGGAUAUAGAAGGGUUUGUUAAGAGCUGGUCCCUAUAUCUGUAUAGAAACAGUAGACAAACUUCUAAAAAAUAUGAAGCCAGAGAUACAGAAAUCAAAUUAUAUAAAUUUAUAUAUAUCUUAUUGUUAUUUUGCUAUUAAGACAAUUAAUUGCAAUUAUUAUCAUGAUUCCCUUGUCUAAUCACGGGNNNNNNNNNNNNNNNNNNNNNNNNNNNNNNNNNNNNNNNNNNNNNNNNNNNNNNNNNNNNNNNNNNNNNNNNNNNNNNNNNNNNNNNNNNNNNNNNNNNNNNNNNNNNNNNNNNNNNNNNNNNNNNNNNNNNNNNNNNNNNNNNNNNNNNNNNNNNNNNNNNNNNNNNNNNNNNNNNNNNNNNNNNNNNNNNNNNNNNNNNNNNNNNNNNNNNNNNNNNNNNNNNNNNNNNNNNNNNNNNNNNNNNNNNNNNNNNNNNNNNNNNNNNNNNNNNNNNNNNNNNNNNNNNNNNNNNNNNNNNNNNNNNNNNNNNNNNNNNNNNNNNNNNNNNNNNNNNNNNNNNNNNNNNNNNNNNNNNNNNNNNNNNNNNNNNNNNNNNNNNNNNNNNNNNNNNNNNNNNNNNNNNNNNNNNNNNNNNNNNNNNNNNNNNNNNNNUUUUACAUAUAUUAAUUCAUGUAAAUAUUUGCUCUCUAUCCCACCAUUAAUUCCCAUAUUUAAGAUUGAAAAAACAAAAAAGAGAACGAAAAGAGAGAGAGAUUUAAAAGAAACAGAAAGGGAAAAAAAAAACAUAAGCAUAGAGAUCAAGAAGAAGAAGGAGAAGAAGAAGGAAAUGCCUGGCUCUCCCAUGUACGCCGCCAAAUAUGGUUGCUCCCAUGAAUUCUUCAACCGGAACUAAUUAAAACUCUGUGAUCAAAAUGAGUAGUAGGUAGUAGUAGUAGUGGCCGAAGACUGGAGAAUAUAUGACUGUUUAAUUUCCAAGAUUAAUUAGAACCAAAAUGAUCAGCUCUGUCUGUCUCUCUCUCUGUUUCUCAAGAAAAUACAUAAGAUUUUAUGUGUAACCUGUACAUCUGUGGAGUUGCCGCCAUGGCUGUAAAACUUCUUCUUCUUCUUCUUCUUCUUCUUCUUUUUCUUGGUUACCAUUUCUAUAUAAAUAUAUAUGAAUGGCUUUCUGUGACUUCUCUGUUGAUAUAUGGUUAAAGAGACUAAACAGAAGAAACUGAGUAAAGAAGAGCACCUGCUGUUUCUUUUAACACAAGAGACUAUUAAAAAAUAAAAAAGGUAAGAAGAAGAAGAAGAAGAAGAGGAGUCGGGUGUUCCCAAAAAGAUGAAGACGAGCGUUUCCCGUUAAUGUGUUGUUUUCAAUGGUGGUGUUAUUAUAUAAUAAUAUUUUAAUAUUUUUCCAAUUCAAAACAGUGGGCCAACAACAGAAGGCCCCUUUUUGUUUCACACGCUGCCUUGUUUCUGUUUUGUCUUCCUCCUCUUCCCCUCUUGCAACUUACAGAUAGUCAAUCUCUCUCUCUCUCUCUCUCUCUCCCUUCAACGAGAGAACGUGGCCUUAGUUUAGGGAACAACACAAGUCUUUAAGGCUCUCCCUCAAGCCUUCUAAAAUAAUACUAUUAAUUUUAUAACCUUAUAAAAGCAAUAUUAUAAUAUUAAUCACUAUACAAUCUUUCCACAUAUUUAUUAGUGGUAAAUAAUUAAAUAAUUGAUAAUAUUUAUUCAUUAUAGACUGAAAUUUCCUGAUAAUUUAGAUAGCAUGAUAUAUAGUAUUAGUAAAGUUUUAACCAUUAAAUUUAAACGGUUGAGAUUUUAUUAUUCAAGCCACUGUAUGAAAUUUAAAUUAUAUCUUUUUAAUAGAUUUCAAUCAUUUUAUUGAAAUUUAAGAAUAAAGAUCUGUAAUAUGACAUAUCUAUUCAAUCUUGUUAUUACAUAUCUAUCUCUUAUUCAUUGCAGAUUAAAUAAAAAGAAAAUAUUCAUUUAAUAAAAUAUAUUAAUAGAAAUAGAAACAAAGCUAAAAUAAACAUCACCUACUUAAAAUAAAUAAUCAAAUACAAGUUUUCAAAAUCAAAUCUUAAGAUUAUAAUGUAUCCCAAAAAGGUCAAGGAGAAAAGAGAAAAAAUAAAAAUAAGAAUAAAAACGAUACUAGCUUGUUAGAUCUUGGAUUUUACAGUAUGUUUGCAUGUACACAUUGUUGUUUGCUUUUCAUUCUAGAUUCUAAUUUCUUGAUUAAGGUAAAAUGUGACACCUGUCUUGCCAUAUAAUUGUCUAUAUCUGAUUCAUCUUUCUUCACUAAUUAGUGGGAAAAUAUUUAAUUUGUUAAAACUGCUUGAUCAAAUAUAUAAUUGAUCAUAUAAACAAGAAGUGUGCUGUUGUUUGUUGUUUCAAAGGAUUGCUAAUCUCCCAAAGAUUAUCAUUAGAUUAUGAUUAAGAUUAUAGCUUUAGACAGAUUCCCCAACACUUGUACCAAUCAUUCAUAUAAUAUAUACAAAGGUCUUUUCUUUUUCUAUUUAAUCAGCAUUAAUUAUUGAGUACCUCUUAAUAUGAGACACCACCAAACUAGCUGAUAAUUGCUAGUAAAAAUUGUACAGGUUGGUAAAGAAAUGAAGGGUUAAAAUAGAGAAGUUAGCAGUUGCAUAAUAAUGGUGGUUAUUGGUGAAGUUAGAAGUUGCCAUAAAGGGAGGACAAUAUUGUUUUGGCCCUCCACUUCUACUGUAUAUGAUCAUCAGUCUGCCAUUAUCACCUAGCUAACUGUUGUCUUCCCCAUAUUAAACUAAACUCCAGUACUAUCACCCUCCCAGAUUAUUUUCUCUACUGGGUUAAUUUAACUCCAUCAUAAUCUUAUUAAUGUGUCAUCGGCUGAACUUACAGAUAAGUUCCUAAAUUUUCAGUUAAAGCGAACUUAAACCUCUAAACUUCCAAUUACAUUUUUAAAUUUAAGAAAUAUAAUAAUUAUGUCUUUUAAGCUAGUUCUAUCCAUUUUCCUGUAUAAUGGCACGAGAUCUAAUUAAUUUAAAGUGUUAAAAGAAAUUUUUUUAAUCUUUUCCGACUAACUUUUUCUUUUCAUGUGAGGAAGUGUAACUCUUUCUUUUAGCAGUUAAAAAUCAUAAAAUGAUAAUUUUUUGUUCACUUUCACAAAGAAAAAUAAGCGCCUUCAUUAUCAGUAGUUAACUCCAAAAUAUAAUUAUUUUAUUUUUUAAACUUAAGGGAUACAAUUUAGAAGUUUAUUUUAAAACUUAGAAGCUUACAUUUAAUUUUUUCCUUAUAAUAUCUCUCCAACUUUUUUUUGAUUCUUCAAGCUUGUUUUUAAAUUACCAUAAUUUAUGUUAGGCAUCCACAAUUAUGCUCUUUAUUUUAAAAAUCAUUAUUAUUCAAUAAAAAGUAACUUAAAAGUUUGGAGGCUUACUAAUAACUUUUGCCUUUUAAUAUAUCUCCAAUUCUUUUCUGGCUUAUUUUUAAAUUACUAUCAUUUAUGUUAUACAUCUAUAAUUAUGUUUGUUAAACUUUGAGGAUUAUUAAUCUUAUUUUAAUUGUCAUAAAUAAUUAAAAUUAUCUAACUUUUUAAUUAAGUGUGUAAGAAAAGAAGAAUAGAAAUUUUUAAUCCUUUUAAAACAGCGCAGAUGAAAGAUUAUUCACGAUCAUGAAAGGUUAUUCACGACCGUGAAUUUGACUUUUCAUAUAUGAAUAGAAGUUUCCAGCCAUAGAAAACUUAAGGACCAUAUUAAAAGGGAUAGAAGGAUACAUGGGGAGCCUUCCAUGAAAAUCAAGAUUCAUGCCCGUGAAAAAUGACUCUACCUCCAAUUCUCUAAGAAGUCAUAGAAGCAUUCUGGCUAAUAUUUCCAGCCAUAAAAGUAGCCCUUCACGGUUAUGAAGAAAUCUUUCCAGUCAUGAAAGAAAGUUUUCCAACGGUGAACAAAGAUUCAAGCCUGUAAAAAACUUUUUUCUUACAAGUCCAGUAGCUUUUAUGGCCAAAGUUUUCAGCCGUGAAAGAUGUCUUCCCAGCAGCAACAAUGAGCUUCAGACUUUUGAAUCUGAAAUUGGCGUUGAGAGCUUCACAGGCAUGAAUAUUUCUUUCCGAUCGUGAACUUGCAUUUCUUAAGAUUGUUGAAACGACUAUAUUUGCAUUUAAUGAGAGUAUAAUAUCUCUAUUUUUCCUAGAACUAUAAAAGCAUUAUUUUUAAUAGCUUUAAGGUUAGCAAAAGCAUUUACUUGAGCUUUAUUUGUAAUAUCUCUCAACAAUAUCUACUUUUUCAUUAAAUUUUUCUUGAAUUAAAGAGUCAAGAGAGGGCUUGAAUCUUUGAGUAGUUGAGUGAUUGAUUUCUGUAUUCAAAGCUCAAAAGAGUUAGGUUGAGCACUUGGACAAUGGAUUAAUUAUUCUUGUAACUAAGAGUGAGAUCUUGAAUAGGUACACUGUGAGCUAGAAAANNNNNNNNNNNNNNNNNNNNNNNNNNNNNNNNNNNNNNNNNNNNNNNNNNNNNNNNNNNNNNNNNNNNNNNNNNNNNNNNNNNNNNNNNNNNNNNNNNNNNNNNNNNNNNNNNNNNNNNNNNNNNNNNNNNNNNNNNNNNNNNNNNNNNNNNNNNNNNNNNNNNNNNNNNNNNNNNNNNNNNNNNNNNNNNNNNNNNNNNNNNNNNNNNNNNNNNNNNNNNNNNNNNNNNNNNNNNNNNNNNNNNNNNNNNNNNNNNNNNNNNNNNNNNNNNNNNNNNNNNNNNNNNNNNNNNNNNNNNNNNNNNNNNNNNNNNNNNNNNNNNNNNNNNNNNNNNNNNNNNNNNNNNNNNNNNNNNNNNNNNNNNNNNNNNNNNNNNNNNNNNNNNNNNNNNNNNNNNNNNNNNNNNNNNNNNNNNNNNNNNNNNNNNNNNNNNNNNNNNNNNNNNNNNNNNNNNNNNNNNNNNNNNNNNNNNNNNNNNNNNNNNNNNNNNNNNNNNNNNNNNNNNNNNNNNNNNNNNNNNNNNNNNNNNNNNNNNNNNNNNNNNNNNNNNNNNNNNNNNNNNNNNNNNNNNNNNNNNNNNNNNNNNNNNNNNNNNNNNNNNNNNNNNNNNNNNNNNNNNNNNNNNNNNNNNNNNNNNNNNNNNNNNNNNNNNNNNNNNNNNNNNNNNNNNNNNNNNNNNNNNNNNNNNNNNNNNNNNNNNNNNNNNNNNNNNNNNNNNNNNNNNNNNNNNNNNNNNNNNNNNNNNNNNNNNNNNNNNNNNNNNNNNNNNNNNNNNNNNNNNNNNNNNNNNNNNNNNNNNNNNNNNNNNNNNNNNNNNNNNNNNNNNNNNNNNNNNNNNNNNNNNNNNNNNNNNNNNNNNNNNNNNNNNNNNNNNNNNNNNNNNNNNNNNNNNNNNNNNNNNNNNNNNNNNNNNNNNNNNNNNNNNNNNNNNNNNNNNNNNNNNNNNNNNNNNNNNNNNNNNNNAACUCUAUUAAAAUUGAUAUGGUUAAUCUUGAAUAAAAGAUAAAUUGGUAAGAAAUGAAAUAGUAGUGGAAUCACAAGUAAUUGACAGCAAAUAAAUGGGUUACAAUUAUUAAAUUAACGUGUUAGUGCAUUUAAAUAUAAAUUAUUAUCAGUCUAAUUCUCAAAGUACUAAAACUGUCAAAAAAAAUCAUAAAAUCUUUUGUGUCAAAUAAUUAAAUUAUAAUGAAAUUUUGUAAUUUUUUCUAUUUUUUGUUUAAACUUUAGAAUCUAACUACACAACUGAAUUAGUAGCUAGAUUUCUGGUUGUUAUUUGAGUCUAGCUACCAAUUAAUGAGUAGAUGAGCCUUAAUUGGAUGACCCCGUAAAUAAUGAAAUGGAAGAUUGAUGAGUCAGUAUUUGCUAUUUUUCUUUUUCACAAUAUCAUAUAGUAUGUAAAUUAAUGAAAUGGAAGAUUGAUGAUUUAGUAUUUGUUCUUUUUUAUUUUUCAGAAAUAUCAUCUAGUAUGUAAAUUGUACCUACUUUAAUUGUUUUAGGGGAAUCAUUCGUCUCUCACUAAUUCUGAAACAAUGUUGUUUCUUUUCUAAUUAAAAAAUAAAUAAAUUAAGCUACAGCUUGGUAUAAAAAUAUAACACGAAAUAAUGAUAUAAAUGGUCCUUGAACUUUAUAUAUUGUCUCAUUUUGAUCAUAUAAUUUUAGUUUGUAAUUCAAUUUUAGUUUUGACUAUAAUUUAGUUGAUCAUUUUACGAAUAAUAAAUUGAUAUGUUAUGUUUCUCUUUUUUAAUUACUCUUUUUUCAUUAACUAUUUUUGAGACAUAUCAAUUCUUCAUUUAUGAAGUGACUAAAUUAAAAUAUAAUUAAAGUUGAAUGAUUGAUACUAUAUAAAUCAAAAUUUUAUAACUAAAAUAAAAAUAAAUAUAAAAUUUAAUGACCAUUUAUACCAUUAUCCCAAUAUAACACAAAUAAUGUUUACACUUGAAAAUGAUAAUUGUUUCUAGUAUUCUUUAAUAGUAUUGAGAUAGGGGAAAUAUUUACUUGCAUUUUUAUGAAACUCACAAUUAAUAUGAUACUAAAUCAACAAAGAAUGCCUAAAGAUCGAUAUCGAUAUUAAUUCAGUACAAAUUUUUAUAUAAAAACAUCAGAAUAGGUUUGACAUAUGAAAACAUCAAUAUAUAUAGAAAACUAAUAAAUAGAUUCAGUCAGUUACAUCAUUCGUAGAUAAAAUCAAUUAUAUAGUGGCAUACACAUUAUUUAUUAGUUAUGUAUUUAAAUUGAUUGACUUUUUAUUACGAGUGAUUGUUAAUAGAUAAAUAAAUCAGUAUGUACUUCAAGAUCAAAUUUUGGUUAGUAGUUUUCUUUUGACAUAAAUGGGUGUUGAUUAUCUCAAGUUCUAAAAUGAAAUCAGUGACUUCAAGAACAAAAACACACUAGAGGAAUGAGAUUUUGAGUUCUCUUCAAAAUGAAAUGGCAUUAGUUAAGAAGAAGAAGAAGAAGAAGAAGAAGGGUGUCUCUAGAAAUGACAUUUUGAGUUAAAAUCUGAAUGACAAGAACAUAAGAUGUCAACAGUUUCAACAAAUGAUUCUCUUGUUAGCAAUAAAAAUACACAGAUAUGACAUCAUGGUCAUACCCCUGGUGAGAGGAGCUAGCUGCUGUGGCCCCUUUUGUCUAAUUCACCAAGCUAAUUUAUGUCAAAUUAAUUGUCAUUGUCCUUUACCUUUCAAUUAAGAAUUCUUGUUUUAUAUUAAGAUAAGCAAAAGUGUUAAUCCUGAAUAAAUGGAGAGUAGGUGAAGAGGAAUCUUGUUCUUGUCUAUGGCAUCCAGUCCCUUUAAUAAUAGCAUCAGUUCUCUUCAAUUAAUCUUACAAGAAAGAAAUACACUCUUUUUGUUUGCUUUCGUUAUAUAUAUAUAUAGUUAAGGCGCUAAUUAUUAUGAGGGAUAUGUUGUUUUUGCAGGAGGGCAGCUUCAGGAGGGGCGGGGGGCAGCAGCUUUGGCAAAUCCUGACAUCCCGCAAUGUCCAUCCAUUAAUUUGCAACAACUGUAUUGGGCAUCUCAACAUAUCAUUCACUAUCUUGCUUUGUUUCUUCUGCUGCAUCCACUGCCCCAAGCACCAUUUAAUUCUUUUUCUUUUAAGAAAAUAAAUAUUAAUCAUUUUUAUAAUUUAUAAACGUGUUAUGCAUAUUUAGUUGCUUGCCAAUAAUGUAAGAUUUAAGAUUACACACAUUAAUUAGUGCUGCUAGCCAUGGAAUUAACCACGUCGAAAAUUACGAAAAAAAUGAAUAAUUUUCUUCAGUGUUUUAUUAAACUUGUGGACUCAGUUUAUAGUGCCGGAACAGUAUGCNNNNNNNNNNNNNNNNNNNNNNNNNNNNNNNNNNNNNNNNNNNNNNNNNNNNNNNNNNNNNNNNNNNNNNNNNNNNNNNNNNNNNNNNNNNNNNNNNNNNNNNNNNNNNNNNNNNNNNNNNNNNNNNNNNNNNNNNNNNNNNNNNNNNNNNNNNNNNNNNNNNNNNNNNNNNNNNNNNNNNNNNNNNNNNNNNNNNNNNNNNNNNNNNNNNNNNNNNNNNNNNNNNNNNNNNNNNNNNNNNNNNNNNNNNNNNNNNNNNNNNNNNNNNNNNNNNNNNNNNNNNNNNNNNNNNNNNNNNNNNNNNNNNNNNNNNNNNNNNNNNNNNNNNNNNNNNNNNNNNNNNNNNNNNNNNCUUCGUCCAACAAUUCUCGAAUCUAAACCAGGCUUCUGCCUCUUCACUCGGCCAUAGUGAUGGAUUAUUAGAGGAAGGUGUGAUCAGACCCUAUCGAUGACUUGGGCUUGAAGGAAUAACUCUCUCCACCCUAUAUUACUAAGGGCUCUUAUCAAUUCUGGACCCAUUCUUUUUGUAGACCAAGUAAAUGCCUGGCCCUUGAACCCCAAGUCCACCAACUCACUAUCAAAUACGAGACCAUUCUUGUUCAUAGAAUUUCCCCCUCUCCUAUCGCACUCUGCUGCUACGCGCAUUCUUAUCCCCCACAAACAGCCACGGCUCACGGCUUGCUGCCAUCCUUUUCACUCUUUUCAUUCUGUCACGGUGAUUCUAAUUCUAUAAAAUAGUUUUUUAAUUAUAUUUUAAAUAUUUAUAUUCCUAAAAGGUAAUAUAUUAAUUACAAUAUCUCUAACGAAUGUUCAAUUAUUUAUUAUAAAGAGUCAUCCUUAAAAAUAAGACUUCAAUAGAUUCUUUAACUUUUAAUAUAAAAUUAGUUUUUACGCUUUAUUAAUUUUAUUAAAUAUAUAUAUAUAAUUAAUUAAUUUUUUUGAUAUGUGUGUUUAAUUUGAUACAUAGAUUUUUUAUUUUGACAUGCAUAUUUAUCUUUAACACAUGAGAUUUAAGCUUAUAUCCAAUUUUAUGGUUUUUUCUAUUAAUUUAUUGAAUAAAUAAGUUACGUUCCUAAUUAAAUACUGACUCUAAUAAUAAAAAAUAGCAUAUUAAUUAUUUUUAGUAUUAUAUUAACUAAUAAAUAGUUUCUUAAUCAGAUAAUGAUACUAAUUCUAUUUUAAACAAUAGCAUAUUAAUUAUAUUUUAAUAUUAUAUUAACUAAUAAAUUAGUUUUCUAAUUAGAUAUUAAUCCUUAUUCUAAAAAAUAACACCUUAGAUUAUAUUUUAAUAUUAUUUUUAAUGAUAAAUUAAUUUUUUCAUUAUAUAAUAAAUUUCUAAUCUUAAAAAAUAUUAUAGUAUCAAUUAAACUGAUAGUAUUAAUUUAUGUAAUAUUAAGAUUAAUUAAUAAAUCUUUUUAAAAUAAUUUUUAUAUUGUUGUACUAAUAAGAUUUUAGCAUUUUAAAAUAUUUAAAAAGAACUUUUGAAAUAGUUACUUUGCUAUUAUUUUUAAAAUAUUAUAAAUUAAUAUUAAAUAUUAAAAUUUUAUUAAAUUGUAUUUAUUAAUUUAAUUUAUAAUCGAAAUAAAAAUAAUAACGGUCAUGCAAUAUACGGGUAAGUAACUAGUAUGUUAUAAGUUUUUAUGCGCUUUUAUUGAUAAAAAUUAAAAAGGGAAGAAAAAAAUUUAAACCAUUAAAAAAAUUCACACCAUUAAUAUUUAUGAAAAAAAGUACAAUAUAGAGUAAAAUAGGCAAAAGGUACAAAUAUAUGGCUUAAAUUUUGUCAAAGUGCAAUUAAACUCUUAAAGUUUAAAGUAGUUCAAUCAUAUCUAUAAAUUUGAAAAAUAGAAUAAUUAUAUCUUUAAAACUAACUCCGUAUAAAGCUCAAUUAGUUUUGGAUGUUAAAAGAAUCGCAUCAACUCUUCCUAACUCACCUUUUUUUUUUUUUCGUAGGAAGAAGUAUUAGCUCUGCCAGUUAAUGGGCAAAAAUCAUAAAGAAUAAUUUUUUUCUUACUUUGACAAAGAAAAAUUAAUAUUAUCAUCAUUAGUUUGAAAAUGAGUUAACUCCAAUUAUAUAAUUAUUUUAUUUUUUUUCAAGUUUUAGGAAAGUAACGAAGCUACUUUAAGAUUUAGGAGUUGAAAUACAUUUUGAUCAAAAGUUUAGAGGGUUAUCAAUAUCUUUUGCAAAGUAAGAUAUAAGGAGCCUAUUGGAGUUAAUAAAUUUUUCUUUUUUACUUAUUCUAUUAGAAUAUUUUUUUAAGAUAUUUUUUUAUUAUAGAAACGAUAAAAUAAAAAACGUCAUUAGGAUGCUCUUAUAUAUAUAAUUAACAAAUCAAUAUAUAAUAUUUUUUGAUAUUUGUACUUUUUCUUGACAAUAUAAAAUUUGUUUCAUUUAUAUAUAUAUAUAUAUUAUAUUGAUGUACAAUUUUUAUGUCCAUCAUAUAAUUAAUAUAUUAACUAAUAAGUUAAUUUUUUUAAUUAUACAAUAAUUACUAAUACUAAAAAGGUACAUAGAUAAUAUUUGUAAUAUUAAUUUUAUAUAUAAUUAAUAAAUCAAUUAGUAAAUAUUUUUAAAUAUUUUUUAUAUUCAUUUCAUUAGUAAAAUCUUAAAUAUUUGAAAUACAAAGACACCUAAAAAAAUCAGAUUAUUAUUAUUUUUGAAAAUAUAACAAAUAAUUAUAUAAUAUUAAUAAUUCUAAUAAAUUUCUUUUAUAAACUUGUAUUAUGUUAUUAUUUGUAAUCAAAUAAUAAUAAUAAUUAUGCAAUACAUAGAUAAAUAAUUAGAAAUUCUUGGCAUACUAAGAUAUAAUUUUUUUUUUAUUACUUUAACACAAUUUUUUUUAUAUGUGUACUUACUGAUGAUAUUGAAAUACAAAAUGAAAUGUAAAUUGGACAAAUAAUUCUUAUCGAGUAGCACAUAAUGUAAAAGAAAAAGUAUGCAUAGCCAUACUAACAGAAUCACAUUGGAUAAACUGUUUUUCUGGAAUUUUGAUUUUUCGUUUAAUUUUAACUUUCGGUUGAAAGAGUAGUGAGUCCAAUUAACAUACUAAAUUGUUAAUUAAUUAUAUAAUAUGUAAAUUUUUAAUCCGUUAAUCGAUUAACAGAAUCACAUUUCUUAAAAGAAAAUAUUUUGGUUAACCAAAAAACUAACAGUCAGCCAAUCGAUUUCUAAAAUAUCAUAAGUUUUAUACACUAAUUAUAAUUAAGUAUUUGUAUUGAUUAAUUAAUUUAUAAAGCUAAAGAAAAUUCUCGAGAACCAAAGGAUUAUUCAAUUUUUGUUCUAAUUUCGAUUUCAAAAUUCCAAUAAAAUGACACUAAGUCUCUAUUAGUAUAUUAAAUUGAGAAAAUUAAAAACCUCAUAAUAAAAUAUUAAAAGCGUUGAUACUCAUAGAUUCUUUUGCAAUUAGUUAAAAUGGAAAACUUUGAGGUGGCGUCCUACGCCCAUGUGGACCGCCUCACUUAAUUCUGUAUGUCAUAUUAGCAAUAUAUUUCAACAAUUUUAACUGGCCUAUUUAAUUGUAAAAAUUAAAAAAUUGCAUUUAAUAUUUUAUUUAAAUAAAAAAAAAUUAUGAUUAAAUGACAAAAGAGUACCAAAAUUAUGUAACUUUUAGCAGUCAAACCUAAAGGUUAUAACAAUUUUAUGGUGUACUUAUAAUAUGGAAAUAAUAGAUAACUAGCAACUUUUUUUCCCUUUUUUUAUAUACUAGAACCACAAAAAGGAAGUACAUAGGAAGUGUGAAAGCUGCAAGGACUAUAUUGUCUUUUACUGUUCCUCAUCUUCUUAUACACAUAUACAUAAUGCAUCUACUCCACAGAGGGCCUGGCGUCACUUUUCUUUUCUUUAACAUUCUACCACCAUACUUGUUUAUCUCCACCUUGUCCACCUUUCGUCAUGUCUAAUUCCCCCUUUUUUUUUUAUAUAUAAACUAAAAUAUUAUACAUUGCAUACGUAUUAUACAAAAAUAUCAAAAUAUUUUGAGUAUUCAAUUUAAAAUAUUAAAAAUAUAUAAUAAUUGAAACUAGUAAGAUAAGAUUAGAUCACCAACCAUCUUUAAACAUAUGUUUAUUUUGCAAGAGCGCAUCUUCUUGUGCGGCCGCAUAACACCGUGAACAAUCCGUACCUUGUCGUUGCCAUUCGCAACAACCAUAAUGGCAAGGACUUUCACCACCAGCACUGUACAAUUUUCAAAUUAGAUCAAAGAUGGGAAAAAUAAUUAAUUAUAUGAUGCAGCAGUCCAAUUAAAGUAGAGAAUUAAAGAAAUUAAUAAAGAAAGGAAUAGAUAUGCACACUAACAAUUGUGAUUACCUUUGCAUGCUUUUACUUUUUUUUUUUUUUUAUAAGAAAAAGGGGGCAGAGUCCUAUCAACUAAAAAUAAUCACAAGCAAGAAUCUCUUCUACACAAAUCCUAAACUAAAUAAACCAACAACUCCUUUGGAGAAUAGAAACAGACGAUAAAAUCUGGAUCACCAUCUAAUGCAGCUCUAGCCAUAACAUGAGCACAGUCAUUGUCCUUUUGACCGAUAUGCAAACAACGAAGCAUCCAGUCUCUUACAAGUAAAAUAUAUAUUCGACGAAUAUCUCUUCUGUAAAAUCAUGAACUUUCCUUCUACUGUAAAUAUAAUCUACAGCCAACAAGGAAUUCAACUCCAGAACAACCUUGCUAUAACUAUAACACUAUGCCAUAUUAAGACCCAACAUAGCUCCCAUAGCUUAGAGUCUAAAGGGGAACAAUUACCAAUGUAGUUUUUAAAACCCAUCAACCAGCCCUCUCUACAAUCGCGGAGCACACAGUUGCAACUGCCCUUCUCCCCUUAUCCACACAAGCCUCAUCUGUAUUCAGUUUAACCUUGUUCUUAUAUGGUGGAAUCCAUCUAUAUACCUUAUUAAUAUUACUUAUGUUGCUAGUUAAGUAUUUCUCAUAUUCUUGAGCAUCCAUAAUCUCGUUGCAAUACUUCAUAAUGACUUGCCUAGGAACAUGAUGAGAUGACCGAACAUGAAAUACGUGUAGAUUUUUUUAUGAAUCCUUCGUAAUUUCAUUCAAAACAAAUCUAAAGAUGGUGCAAUAAUUUAUUCAAUAAAAUUUAUUAAUUUUAAUAAUUGGUUAACCAUUAAUAAUGAUGUCGUGAUUGAUUCAAAUUCUAAAAUCCCUAUAAAGUAUUACUUCUAACAUUUUAUACUAAUUGAUAUUUAUUAAAUAAUUUUUUAAAUUAUUUAUUAUUUUUACAUAUUCAAUAUAAUAUUAAUUUUUUUAUUUUAUUCUUGUAUUAACGUUAUUAACUAUUAGUUUUGCAAAAUUCUAUAAAUUUAUACAUAAAAAUAUAAUAAAUUUUAAAAAAUAGAUAACACAUUAUUUCCAAAUGCUUAACAUGUAACACAUUAUUUCCACAAAGAAUGAAAAUUGAAACAAAAACAAAAAUAAAUAAGGACAAAACUAUGUCAUCUGAGUUACAAACCGGCCACAUUUGGAAUUGAGAUUUUAUUUUCCCAGCUAUAUAUGUUGCAUUAUGGUGGAGUUUUGACUCUUAAAUUUAAAUUUGGGCAACUUUAAUCUUUAAAUUUAUUGUCACCAUCCGAUCUAUCAAUCCAUGAGCCGCAUUAGAAACUAGUUAAAUUUAAGGCUAUUGUAAUAGAUCUUAUUAAUUGAUAUUUUAAUAAAGUAUAUAUAAAAAUAUAAUAUUAAUCCGGUCUGACAUGUUAUACACAACUGGUCAUUGAUAACAUUUCAUAUUUUGUUAUAUACCAAAUUAAACAUAACAUAUAAAAAAUAUUGUUGUGGAAAGUCUAGAAUUUUAAAUAUUUAAAAUACAAUAGUUAAAUUCAUUACAAUAAGUUCGAGCAGGACGAUAAAAGACUUUAACUGUCACCUGAAAAAUAAUUAAAAUUAAGACUAUCAGUCUCGAGAGUGAGUUAAAAUCAUUUAAUCCUAUAACUAUUGCAGUCUCCUAAAUAUAAUAUUUAUUGAAUCAAAUAUAACAUGUCGUUUUGUAUUAAAGUACCUGUCGUGCUGUCACGACCCACUCUGUGGACCCGUGACCGGCACUAGGGAAUGGGUAGGCUUAAGGCCACCGAAUCCCGUAGUAAGCCUGAAACUCACUAACUCAAUCAAAUCUCAUCUCAAAUUAAUAUUAUUAAAGCCACAAAUUAUCUUAAUAGGAACAUUUUACAUAAUUACUUCGGUCUGCCAGAAAAAUUAGGCGAGACCCAAAACUCAUAAAAUUUACAACUGAUACCUCUACUAUUGCAACUGCGGAGAAUCUAAGAUUUUUACAAUUCGACAUACUAAAUCAAACACUACCCGAUGAUGAAGAAGUCGGGUUACUGAGUAAGAGUCGCGGGAAGACUAACAGUCACGAAUCUGAAAAACAAAAAAUGGAGACUGUCAGUCUCGAGAGUGAGUUAAAAUCAAAUAAUCUAGAGACUAUUGCGAGUCUUCACAGAAAAUAUUAAUCAUUCGAAUCAGUAUAUCAAACCAUACACGUAAAUACAACUCAUAUUAUAAUCAUACCAAAUAAAUAAAUAAAUAAAAUAUAUUUUUAUUUUUACGGGACGAGUGGCUCAGUAAAACCCUAACCCCAAAUUCUAGUAGCCUUUUGGCUCUCUUGAUCCAAUAAGACUGGCGCCUAGAGAGCAAUGCUCGACCAGGGACCUUAUCUCCAAUCUGGUCACUUAAGUAUCCAAAUAUGCCGGCGCCCAGAGAGCAAUGCUCGACCAGGGACCUUUACUCCGGCAUCUCAUUCCAAUAGGACUGGCGCCCAGAGAGCGAAGCUCGACUAGGGUCCUUAACCCCAGUCCGGUCACUUAAUAUUCAAAUAAGCCGGCGCCCAAAGAGCAAUGCUCGACUAGGGACCUUUACUCCGACAUCUCAUUCCAAUAUGACUGGCGCCCAUAGAGCAAUCAUCACAUUUAAUAAAUAUCAUGGUCUAAUGAAAUCAUUCAACACAUUAUCAAAAUAAAGAUUAAAAAUUUAGGGCAAAGCAACAUGCAUUCGUGUGGAAAAAUAAUAAUAUUUUUAUUAUUAUAACAUUACUAAUAAUAAUAUUUAUAUUAUUUUUAAUAAUUAAUAAUCAAGUGAAAUUAUUUACGUUGCGAUACUAAUAACCAUAUUAUGCAUAAACUUCCAAAAUAGGAUAUUAAAUUCAGACUUAAUAAUAGUGCAACGAUUAAGUGACUUCAACUCACAGGUUUUAGGCGACGUCCUAGCUCUGCUCCAGCGCCUCAGUUGGAGCGAGCCGAACAGACAAACCAUCUAAUCACGGAAAAUAAUUUAUCAAUUAUGUUGAACAAUUACAAUUGACCCUAGGUCUAGAUUCCUAGGACUCACUGUCUAAGAAUCUCGACUCGGGAGAAUUCUACCGAAAAUCUGGCAGAACCUCCCCUACAACACGGACAUUACCCCCCAUAAAACGGGUCCAGGACCUGCCAGAAAAAUACUUCAAAUAUCCAACAAUUCCAACAACGGGAGUCAGGUCCCCAAACUUCACUAUUUUCCCGACUCCGCCAUACAAUACAAAACACGAGGCAGACAAACUGAUAGAGAAUUAUUUUUGACUCACAAAUAUCAUCAAAUACUCAACACAAUCAAUAGACACAAAUUAAAUCAAAGAAUUCUAAAAUUAACGGGCCAGAGAUAAUUACCGAGACGCCUGGUCGACUCGCCUCCAGCCGCCAGAAUUCGAUUGACGAUCCGAACACAUCAUCGAACUCACAACGACGUGCUAAUGAUGAUCCCCGCUUCCGGUUUUCCGAUCCAACACCCGAUAGUCAAGAGAGAUUUUCGGACGAUGACGGCCGUCGAUUCGCAAACAAAGCCCGAUCGCCACGAAACCGGUGCCAUUGCGAAGCUUGAGCUGAGGAGAGUCGGGAUACGUCCUCUGAUCGUCCAUCCCCCACCGGAGCUCGUCGAAAAAGCCAAAAAAUACGGGUGCCUCCACUUUGCCGGAACUCUCUCCUCCGGCCAUCAAAACCGACGCCGCCACCACCAAAAUGAAGCUCUCUUCGAGGGGAGCCGAUCGCCACCAAGAUCGGCCGGAAAGGACCGGAAUGGCCUUUGAAAACCGCUGCCCCUUUUUUUUUUCCCCUCGCUGCUAACGCAGCUGCCGCCGCUGCUGGACUCGCCGGCGCCAGCAGCGCCCUCGGCUGGCCUCGUCACGCGCCCCGAUGGACGAUGCCGCCGCCUUUUCCUUCCUUUUCACGACGUCUCCCUCUCUCUCCCCGCUUCUCUCUCCCUUUUCUUCUUUCAAUAUUGACAUUUGACCCCUGAACUUUUCCUUAUCACAAUUUGGUCCCUCAACUUUCUUAAUUACUUACAAUUUCAUCCUGCAGAAUUCCAAUUUAACCUCUAAACUUCUUUUUAACCUUUCAAUUUAGCCCCUAACUAUUCAAUUUGAGCCAAAUUAGAAUUAUUGAAAAUACACAAUUACAUAAAUACCCCUGACCGACAUAUUUAUUUACAAAAAUACCAAACUCACAAAUUUUUAUUAAAACCCCAUAAAAAUAAAAUUAUCCUUUUAAUCCUUAUUCCAAAAUAAAUUUUUAAUUUAGUCCUAACACACAAUUAAUUUAAAUAAUAAAUUUCCAACUUAAAAUUUAAUACCACUAAUCAAUUAAAAUACCAAUUUUCCCAAAAUUCUUUUAUAAAAACAUCCUUUACAAUUUCUUCCAAAAUUUUCCAAUAUAUAUAAUUUUAUUUAUACAUAUACAUUUACAUAUACAUUGGAGAAAAAUUAGAAUAACCAAAAAUAUAUUCUACCCUUCAAAUAAUUUACUUAAUUAAUUAUUAAAAUUUCAACUAAUUGGGUAUAGAAUAAUAAUUCAUUUAAUUGACUAAUAUUAAAAUUUUCAUUAAAUCAUUUCAAAUUAAACCAAAUAAAAAUAAAAUAAAAUUAAUUAAAUAAAUAAAUACUCAUUAUUAAAUAUAUAAAAAUUCCGGAUAUUACAUUCUCCCCCCCUUAACAAAAAUUCGUCCUCGAAUUUUAAAAGAAAAGGGGCUUUAGUCAAGACUGAAACUAAAGAAAAUAGGAAUCUCUCAUAUCCAAUUCAGCUUCUCGGGAACUUUCCUCGGUAGAAAUAAACUCAACCACAAGACUCAUCGACAAAACCCUUUAGCAAAACUAGCGAUCCUGAUUUACGGCUCCUUGAAAACCAAAUCUUUACUUACAUCCACACACUGAGGAUCCAACACGAACAAAAGAUCGAAAAUACAGUUCUCAACGAAGACCUACAGAUACUGAAUUGACCUCCGAGAACAUUACUUGGCAGCAAGUCCAACUUACAUGCCACCUCACCAACCUGCCGACAAAACCAAGGGUCUCCAUAAUAAGAAAGGCCAACUCUGAUCCUGCCAAAAAUCCACUCACCAACUUCCUUCCUAAUGACAUGUCCUUACACGUGCAGAAAAAUCCUUAACAUCCACGUCACAUCAUCAUUGACAUAACAUCCAUCUGAUCGCAUCAACCGACACAACCCAUGCCAUCCUGACACAAGAUUCCUCCUUGACUGAAAUCCAAAAGCCUCCUUUAUAAUCAAACAUGGGGCCUACUACUCUACAGAGUCAUUCUCACAGCAACUCAGCUCGUCAUCCAGAGAAUUCUCAAGCUAACACCAUUCACUUGAAAAAUUUACUUAUUUAUUUACUUUAUAAUUAUCACAGAUAAAAGCUUUAUUAUCUUGGAAAAACACUUUUGUAAAAUCAUAAAAUCUCUAGCCAUUUUUUUCUUUAUAUAAAAUUCUACAAACUCGCACACCAGGGUGAUGAUGUCCCCAAUCACCAAGGGUUGCAAUGCAUGAUGUAUGAUGCAUGCCCUAAAAUGAAUUUGUGGAUGCCUAAUAGUGAAAUGCCAUAAUGCACUCUUAUGGGAUUGGGUGCAAUAUUGUAUUUUAAAACACUUGUUCUACUUAGAAAAAGAAAUAGUGUUCACUUAAGUUUCUCUGGAUUUCCGAGCAUCCGAAAAUACUCCUGCCACCUUUCUUAAGCUUCUUACAAUCACAAACUCAACCAUAAAACUCUAACAUCCACUCGACUUCCUAGGCACUAACGUCGGCGCUACUCAAUAAGGCGAUGCCUGAUGCGAUGACGAGGCAGUCCAUGACACGACUGCAACCACGCUCUAUACUAAAACUGACUGCGGUGCCCACCAUCGAAACAACAAUCAAAGUUUCUAAAGGCGGACUACACUAAUCACUUGAUGAAAACGACACGAGUCUACCGCGCUUCGAAUCUUCCCAUCGCUACAAAGCUCAUUCUCAGCACAGCAUCAAAGACAAGCUCACGGAAAAAAAAUGACAGACUCUCUAAUAGAGAAGGCUGAGACACUAGAGUCAAUGAAAACAACAAGACAUACUUGACCCUAGCUCCGCAGUACCAAGAAAAAUAUUAACUUAGGUUGAAGGAAAUCUAAACCUAAGCUCUGAUACCAACUUUGUCACGACCCAUUAUGUGGACCCGUGACCGGCACUAGGGAAUGGGUAGGCUUAAGGCCACCGAAUCCCGUAGUAAGCCUGAAACUCACUAACUCAAUCAAAUCUCAUCUCAAAUUAAUAUUAUUAAAGCCAUAAAUUAUCUUAAUAGUUACAUUUUACAUAAUUACUUUGGUCUGGCAGAAAAAUUAGGCGAGACCCGAAACUCAUAAAAUUUACAACUGAUACCUCUACUAUUGCAACUGUGGAGAAUCUAAGAUUUUUACAAUUUGACAUACCAAAUCAAACACUACCCGAUGAUGAAGAAGUCGGGUUACUGAGUAAGAGUCGCGGGAAGACUAACAAUCACGAAUCUGAAAAAACAGUAAAUGGAGACUGUCAGUCUCGAGAGUGAGUUAAAAUCAGACAAUCUAGAGACUAUUGCAGUCUUCACAGAAAAUAUUAAUCAUUCGAAUCAGUAUAUCAAACCAUGCACGUAAAUACAACUCAUAUUAUAAUCAUACCAAAUAAAUAAAUAAAUAAAAUAUAUUUUUAUUUUUAUGGGACGAGUGGCUCAGUAGAACCUUAACCCCAAAUUCUAGUAGCCUUUUGGCUCUCUUGAUCCAAUAAUACUAGCGCCCAGAGAGCAAUGCUCGACUAGGGACCUUUACUCCGGCAUCUCAUUCCAAUAGGACUGGCGCCCAGAGAGCGAAGCUCGACCAGGGUCCUUAACUCCAGUCCGGUCACUUAAUAUUCAAAUAAGCCGGCGCCUAGAGAGUAAUGCUCGACUAGGGACCUUUACUCCGGCAUCUCAUUCCACUAGGACUGGCGCCCAGAGAGCAAUCAUCACAUUUAAUAAAUAUCAUGGUCUAAUGAAAUCAUUCAACACAUUAUCAAAAUAAAGAUUAAAAAUUUAGGGCAAAGCAACAUGCAAUUCGUGUGGAAAAAUAAUAAUAUUUGUAUUAUUAUAACAUUACUAAUAAUAAUAUUUAUAUUAUUUUCAAUAAUUAAUAAUCAAGUGAAAUUAUUUACGUUGCGAUACUAAUAACCAUAUUAUGCAUAAACUUCCAAAAUAGCAUAUUAAAUUCAGACUUAGCAAUAGUGCAACGAUUAAGUGACUUCAACUCACAGGUUUUAGGCGACCUCCUAGCUCUGCUCCGGUGCCUCAAUUGGAGCGAGCCGAACAGACAGAUCAUCUAAUCACAUAAAAUAAUUUAUCAAUUAUGUUGAACAAUUACAAUUGACCCUAGGUCUAGAUUCCUAGGACUGACUGUCUAAGAAUCUCGACUCGGGAGAAUUCUACCGAAAAUCAGGCAGAACCUCCCCUACAACACGGACAUUACCCCCAUAAAAUGGGUCUAGGACCUGGCAAAAAAAUACUUCAAAUAUCCAACAAUUCCAACAACGAGAGUCGGGUCCCCAAACUUCACUAUUUUCCCGACUCCGCCACACAAUACAAAACACGAGGCAGGCAAACUGACAGAGAAUUAUUUUUGACUCACAAAUAUCAUCAAAUACUCAACACAAAUUAAAUCAAAGAAUUCUAAAAUUAACGGGCCAGAGAUAAUUACCGAGACGCUCGGUCGACUCGCCUCCAACCGCCGGAAUCCAAUCGACGAUCCGAACACAUCAUCGGACUCACAACGAUGAGCCGAUGAUGAUCCCUGCUUCCGAUUUUCCGAUCCGACACCCGAUCGUCUAGAGAGAUUUUCAGACGAUCACUGCCGUCGAUUCGCAAACGAAGCCCGAUCGCCACGAAAUCGGUGCCAUUGCGAAGCUUGAGCUGAGGAGAGUCAGGAUACGUCCUUCGAUCGUCCAUCCUCCGCCGGAGCUUGCCGGAAAAGCCAAAAAAUGAAGCUGCCACUGCCAAAAUGAAGCUCUCUUCGAGGGUAGCCGAUCGCCACCAAGAUCGGCCUGAAAGGACCGGAAUGGCCUUCGAAAACCGCUGCCCCUCUUUGUUUUUCCCUCGCUGUCGCCGCUGCUGGACUAGCCGGCGCCAGCAGCGCCCUCGGCCGGCCUCCCCGCGCGCUCCGAUUGACGACGCCGCCUCCUUUUCCUUCCUCUUCACGACGUCUCCCUCUCUCUCCCCGCUUUUCUCUCCCUUUUCUUCUUUGAAUAUCGACAUUUGACCCUGAACUUUUUCUUAUCACAAUUUGAUCCCUCAACUUUCUUAAUUACUUACAAUUUCAUCCUACAGAAUUCCAAUUUAACCUCUAAACUUCUUUUUAGCCUUUCAAUUUAGCCUCUAACUAUUCAAUUUGAGCCAAAUUAGAAUUAUUGAAAAUACACAAUUACAUAAAUACCCCUGACCGACAUAUUUAUUUAUAAAAAUACCAAACUCAUAAAUUUUCAUUAAAACCCUAUAAAAAUAAAAUUAUCCUUUUAAUCCUUAUUCCAAAAUAAAUUUUCAAUUUAGUCCUAACACACAAUUAAUUUAAAUAAUAAAUUUUCAACUUAAAAUUUAAUACCACUAAUCAAUUAAAAUACCAAUUUUCCCAAAAUUCUUUUAUUAAACCAUCCUUUACAUUUUCUUCCAAAAUUUUUCAAUAUAUAUAAUUUUAUUUAUACAUAUACAUAUACAUAUACAUUGGGGAAAAAUUAGAAUAACCAAAAAUAUAUUCUACCCUUCAAAUAAUUUACUUAAUUAAUUCUUAAAAUUUCAACUAAUUGGAUAUAGAAUAAUAAUUCAUUUAAUUGACUAAUAUUAAAAUUUCCAUUAAAUCAUUUCAAAUUAAACCAAAUAAAAAUAAAAUAAAAUUAAUUAAAUAAAUAAAUACUCAUUAUUAAAUAUAUAAAAAUUCCGGAUAUUACACGUGCCAUACUUUAGAAAGAAAAUAUAUCUUAAGACUUAUCAAACGAGUGGCUCAGCAUAACCAUAAUCUCAAAUGUUGGUAGCCUUUCGACUCUUUUAUUUUAAUAGUUUUGCCACCUAGAGAGCGAAGCUCAACCAGGGUCUUUACAUCCAUCUUGGACACUUGAUUCCUAAUUAAGCCAGCGCCUAGAGAGCAUUGCUCGACCAAAGACCUUUCUCUAGUAUUCAAGCUUUCACAGCCACGAGAGUUAUAUUCGACCAGGGCAAAAUCCAAAAAUAAUCUUUGUUACCUGCCUCUGAUUAUUAUUAGUGCGCAUGAGGUCCUAAUAUAACCCAUGAGGUGACAUAUUCUACUAUCGCCACAUCCCAAUAUCACAAUCACAACAUUUAUAAUAAUCAUAAAUAGAAUAAUCAUAGGCCAACAUAAACUAUUCAAUAACAUACUGAGAAAUAAAAAUUUAGAAAUUUCAGAAAUAGCAAACAUGCAAAUUAUGAGUAGUAAUAAAAGUACUAGUAUUAAAAUAAUAUUAAUUAACAUAUUAGAAAUAAUGAAAUUAAUUUACUAAUAAUAAUAAUAAUAAUACUAUUCGUAAAAAUUAUCAAUUAAACAAAAUUACUUAUAAUAACGAUAAUGAUAAUCAUAUUAAAUAUUAAUCAUUAAUCAUUAAAUAUCACAUUAAAUUUAGACAUGCCAAUGGUACAGUGAUUAUAUGACUUUAACUCACAAUUCUGUCGCGUUUUGCAGUUCGCUACUACACCUCGGGUGGAGCUGGCUAGAUGGACGGAUUAUCUAUUUACGAAAAUACUCAGUUAAUAAAUAUUCUUAAAUUUCCCUAGGCAUAGACCUCUAGAUUAGACUACCUAAAAAUAUUUUAGACUUGAGAAUUCUGUUGAAUCUGACAGAACCUUCUCUAAUUUAUGGAUAUUUACCCUCCGUCCAACGGGUCGAGAACUUGUUAGAAACACUUCAAAUAUUCUGAAAUCAACCAACGGGAGUCAGGCCACUAAAACUACAUUAUUUUUUCCGACUCUGCAACACACCAUAGAUCACAAUUAAUUAAAUCCAAUUAAAUUUAAAUUAUCUAUAGUUGAUAAUUAAUGGCAACAAUAUUUUUCUAAAAUUAUAAAAUAACUUUUGAGGUCCAAAUAAAAUUAUACGAGCAAAAAUUUAAAAUCUCGUGCUUCCGAAAAACACCGAGGUCUGAAAGCCGGUCCUACCAAUAAUGUCAGAAUUCAAAUCCAGAAGCGCCUACGCGAAGCUUGAGUUACGGGGAGUCUGAAAAUAAAAGAGUUCCGGCUGGAAACUCGCCGAAGGGCACUGACUCAGGGUCAGAAAGUCUAGGCUCCGACGAGGACGAACAAGCUGUCGGCGAUGAAAAUUGCAACUAGAAAGGUCUGCUCAAGGGUUUCCAGUCGCGGGGAGCUCGAUUUCGGCGCCGGAUGAGCUGUUGGAGGAUGGUAGCAGUUGCUUCGGCGGGAGGGAGGCUUUUUCCUCCUCGAUCGAUGGCGGUAGCGGGAAAAGGAGAAGGGGAAGAUGGCACAGCGACGAGGAGGGGAAGAAGAGAAGCUAGGCUGUAAUACCCAGAAUUUUCAUUUAAUAAUAUUAAUAUUAAUAAUGAUUAAUAAAUAAAAUUUUAUUUAAAUUAAUUUUAGCUUUAUUUUUUAUUUUUUUAUUCUGUUUAAUUAGAAUGAUUUAAAUGCAAUUUUAAAUUUUAAUAUUAGACAAAUAAAGGAGUUAUUUUCUAUAUCCAAUUAGUUUGAUUUUUUUAAAGAAAUUAAUUAAGUAAAUUAUUUGAGAAAUAAAUUAUAUUUUUGGUUAUUCAAAUUUUCUCCAAAUGCAUAUAUAUAAAUAAAAUUAUAUAUGGAAAAAUUAUGGAAGAAUUUGUAAAGGAUGUUUUUAUAAAAGAAUUUUUGGGGAAAUUGGUGUUUUAAUUAGCUAGUGGUAUUAAAUUUUAAGUUGGAAAAUAGUUAGCAAAUUGAUUAAUUAAAUCAAUUGUGUUAGGACUAAAUUGGAAAUUUAUUUUGGGAUGAGGGUUAAAAUUAUAAUUUUAUUAUUAUGGGAUUUUAAUGAAAAUUUGUGUGUUUGGUAUUUUUAUAAUUAAAUAUGUCAGCAAGGGCUUUUGAUAAUUUUACAUUUGAAAGCAAGGGUAUAUAUGUAAUUGUAUAUUUUCUAUAAUUCUAAUUUGGUCCAAAUUAAAUAGUUAGGGGCUUAAUUGAAAAGCUAAAGAAAAAUUUAAAGGCUAAUUAGAAAUUUUACAGGGCCAAAUCGCUGUAAUUAAAAAAAAUUGAGGGACUAAAAGGUAAGAAAGAAAAUUUCAGGGACCAAAAGUCGAUAUGAAGAAGAAGAAAAGAGGAAUCAGGGAGAGAGAGAGGGAAACCAGAAGAAGAAGAAGCCAAGGCGCUGCGUCGUCCGAGUGGCUCGCGCUGGCGGACGUGGCAGUAGCUGGCAGCGUCGGCAGGCGGCGAAAAGCGCGAGGAAGAGGCAGUGGCUUCCGAGCACUUUUCCAGCGGCCUUGUUGGCUGUUUCCGGUGGCGAUCGGCUCCCCUCAGCAAGGGCUCUCUUUUGGCAGCAGCGGCGAUGCCUGUGGUGGCCGGAGACGGAAGAUCCGGUGGAGAGAGAAAGUAGGAGGCAUCCGGCUUUUUUUGAUUUUUCCGGCAAGCUUCCGUAGGGGAUGGUUGAUCGGAGGACGUAUCCCGACUCUCCUCAGCUCAAACUUCGCAAUUGUACCGGUUUCGUGACGAUCGAACUCCGUUUGUAAAUCGACGACUGAGAUCGUCUGCAAAUCUCUCCAAAUGAUCGGGGGACGAAUCCGAAAAUCGGAAGCAGGGAUCGUCAUCGACGCGUCAUUUCGAGUCUGUUGGUGUGUUCGGAUCGUCGAUCGGACUCCAGCGGUUAGGGGCGACCGAGCGAUAAAACGUCUCGGUAAUUUUCUCUGGCCUAUUGAUUUUGGAAAUUCUUUGGUAUAAUUAUGUGUCUAUUAAAUGGUGUUGUGUAUUAGACAAUAUUUGUGUGUUAAAAUAAUUGUUUGUUGGACUGCCUGCCAGAGUCGUGACUUAUGUUGUGUGGGGAGUUGGAAAAAAUAGUGAAGUCUGGGGACCCGACUCCCGUUGUAUUGAAUUGUUGAAUAUUUGAAGUGUUUUUCUGGCAGGCAGGUCCUGGACCCGUUUUAUGGGGGUAAAUGUCCGUGUUUUAGGGGAGGUUCUGAAGGAUUUUCGGUAGAAUUCUUUUGAGUCGAGAUUCUUAGACAAUCAGUCCUAGGAGUCUAGACCUAGGAUUAAAUUGUCAAGUAUUUCAACGUUAUUGAUAAAUUAUUUUCCGUGAUUAGAUAAUCCGUCUGUUCGGCUCGCUACAACCGAGGCACCGGAGCAGAGCUAGGAGGUCGUCAAAGCUGUGAGUUAAAGUAAUAUGUCUGCUUACGCGUGUCAUGCAUAAAUUUUUUGAUUUGCUAUUGUAAUUAAUUUAGUGCAAGUUUAAUUAUUCAUUUAAUUAUUAUUCAUGUAUGUUCUUCCUUUAUCAUUGCAUGAUGACUCGGGAUGAGACGGCAGUAGAACAUAUGAGUUUGAUGAGUGUACCGGUAUAAAUCCAUGAGUGAUGGAAAAAGGAAAAAUGGGUAAAUUUAAAAAGGAAAGACUAGGACUUACCCUGGUCGAGCAUCGCUCUCUGGGCUUAGUAGAGUGUGUUUGCCGGAGUAAAGGUCACUGGUCGAGCAUUGCUCUCUAGGCGCCGGCUUAUUUGGAAACCUAAGUGACCAGACUGGAGAUAAGGUCUCUAGUCGAGCUUCGCUCUUUGCGCGCCAGUCUUAUUGGGAUAAGAGAGCUGAAAGGCUAUGACUGUCAAUGAUAAUUAAGUGACCGAACUAGAGUUAAGGACUCUAGUCGAGCUUCGCUCUCUGGGCGCCAUUUUUAUUGGAAUGAGAUUAGUCGAGAGGGUAGAAUUGAGGUUAGUCGAGAUGUCAGUGUUGAGAUUGGUCGAGAGGUCAGUGUCGGGAUUAGGGUUCUACUGAAGUAAUCCAUCCCGUAGUGUGUGAAAUAUUAUUUUAUUUAAUUUAAGCAUGACAUGAUACGUUUAUUUUUGCAUGACUUAGUAUUUAUUUCAAAUUAAAUAAAUGUGUUAUUGAAGUGUUUACAACUAUUUUUCUUUGGAUAUAUGAUUUUAACUCACUCUCGAGACUGACAGUCUCAAUUUUACUGUUUUUCAGAUCUGUGAUUGUUAGUCUUCCUGUGAUUCUCAUCUAGUAACCCGACUCCUUUAUCAUCGGGUGAUGUAAUUUAUUUGGUAUGUUAACUUGUAAAAUCUUAGAUUCUCCGCAAUAGAAUUAAUAGUGUUAUAUGUUGUAAUCCUUUGUGGUUUUGGGUCUCGCCUAAUUCUUCUGGCAGACCGAAUUAAUUGUGUAAAAUUUAAUAGUUACAAUAAAUUGUGGCAUCAAUAAUAUUAAAUGAGAUGAUAUUUAUUUAAGUUAGUGAGUAUCAGACUUACUAUAGGAUUCGGUAGCCUUACGCCUACCCAUUCUUUAGUGCCAGUCACAGCCCACAGAUGGGGUCGUGACAUGGGCGACGGCGGCCUGUUCAGUGCGCAGGCAGAAAGGGGGGGAAGCAAUUGACAUCGGGGAGAAAAAUAAGGAGGGAAAGAGGAGAAGAGGGAAGGAAAGGGGGGAGAAGGAAAAAGAGAGAAAGAGAAAAAAAUAAUAUUAUUAUUAUUUAUUUUAUUUUAUUUUUAGUAUUACAUUCUAUCCCCUUUAGAAAAAAAUUCGACCUCGAAUUUUAAAAGAAACACGGCUUACCUCAGGACUGGAACAAACGAGGGUAAACACUCCUCAUUUCUUGUUUAGUUUCCCAAGUACACUCUUCUGACGAAUGGUUCCGCCACAACACUUUAACCAUCGAUAUAAUCUUAAAAUGCAGUUGGUGAACUUGCGUAUCCACAAGCCUAACCGGCUGCUCCUUAUAAGUCAAAUAUUCACUUACUUCCACAUAUUGAGGUUGCAACACAUGUGAAGAGUCUGAAAUAUACUUCCUUAACAUUGAUUUAUGAAAUACUUGAUGCACAUGCAAGAAAUUUGGCAGCAAGUCCAGUUUAUAUGCCACCUCUCCAAUCUUGUUUAUAAUCUUAAAGGGUCUCACAAUAUCGAGGGGAAAUUUGCCUUUCUUGCCAAAACAUAUCACACCACGCAUAGGGGACACCUUCAAAAACACAUAUUCCCCAACACUGAAAUCCACGUGCUUCCACUUCGGGCUCGCAUAACUUUUUUGCCUAUUGAAAGCUGUCUUCAGCCGCUUGCAGAUAAUAGAAAUUUUUUCUGAAGUGAUAUGAACUAACUCUAGUCUUGCUAACUUCCGUUCGCUAACCUCUUCCCAACACAUAAGAGAUCUGCGCUUUCGGCCAUACAAUGCCUCAUAGAGGGCCAUCUUGAUGCUUGCAUAAUCAACGGUAAGUAUCAAUUUCACUGACCACUAAAAUUUAUCACGCACAUCCGAAACAUAUCCUCUAAAGUCUGAAUUGUCCUCUCCGAUUGUUCAUCAGUCUGAGGGUGAAAAGCUAUACUGAAGUCCAAUCUGGUACCAAGUUCUUCUUGUAGCUUCCUCCAAAAUCUCGAAGUGAACUACAGUCCUCUGUCAGACACUAUGGAAAUAGAAACGCCGUGAAGACUGACAAUUCUUUCCAGAUACACUCAUGCAUACUUAGCCACAUAAUAGAUAGUCUUCACCGGAAGGAAGUGCGCUGACUUAGUCAAACGGUCCAUAAUUACCUAAAUAAAAUCAUAACCAGUCGAAGUCUUGGGUAAACCCGAAACAAAAUCCAUAAUAAUCUUUUAAUAUUUCCACUAUAGGAUAAAAAUGGUUGCAAUAACCCUGACAGCUUAUGAUGCUCCAAUUUAUCCUAUUGACACGUCAAACACUUGGAGACAAACUCUCCCACAUCCCUCCUCAUUUCACUCCAUCAAUAAUUUUUCAAAUCAUGAUACAUUUUGGUGGAGCCCGAAUACAUGCUGUAAGCUGUACAAUGAGCCUCUUCUAAAAUCUCCUUUAUGAGAUUACUAAAUAAUAAUGAGAAAUUGAUUAUAAUAUCCAAAAUUAGCUUAAUGACUAAUAAUUUUUCUAAUCUAUUUUAUUUUCGUAUAUAUAUAUAUUUUCAUUCAUAGCUCAUACUAAAUAAUUAAAUACUAAAUUUAAUAAAAAUUAACAAGGUUUUAAUUAUUUCUUCCAAUGACUCUUUAAAAAUAAAAUUCUAAAUUUGCAUAUAUUCUAAUGUGAAAAUUAAAAUAAUUAAUAAAUAAGCGUUUAUACAUUUUCUUUGACUUUUACCAAAAGCUAAUAAAAGUAUGUCAUUUAAUAGGAUUUACAAGAUAUUAUUAAAAAAUAUAUCAAAUACCAAACCAUUUAAGUUAAGAUAUCAAAACUACAUAGUUGCCAACAUAUGACACCAGUCUGAAAUAUUUAAGACAUUAAGAUAGAGGCAAUAUACACUAUUAAAGUGAAGUGAGUACUAGAAUUAUUAAUAAUAAUGAUAAAUGAUUACAAUACCAAAAAUAAGCUUAAUGGCUAAUUAGUUUUCUAAUCUAUUUUAUGUAUCAUUUCUUUAUUGUUUUAGCUAAAUAAUUAAAUAUUAAAUCAGUAAAAAUAACAAGGUCUUAAUUAUUUUUCUAAUGACUCUUUAACAGUAAAAUUUAAAAAAUUGUAUUAUUUUAGUGCCAAAAUUAAAAAAAAUAAAAAUAAAAAUCUAUGCAAUUUUUUGACUUUUUUUUUUUUUUUAUCAAAGACGAAUAAAAGCAUGUGCAAUAGGAUUUACAAGAUAUUAUCAUAGAAAUACUAAAACACCAAAACAAUAUCAUAGAAAUACUAAAACACCAAAACAUAUAAAUUAGGACACCAAGACUAUAGUAGUCAAUUAUGAGACCAAUAUAGAAUACCAAAACAUAUAAAUUAGGACACCAAGACUAUAGUAGUCAAUUAUGAGACCAAUAUAGAAUAUUUAGGACAUUGAGAUAGAUGCAAUCUGAUGCUAGUAAAGUGAAGUCAGAACCGAAAUUACUAAUAAUAAUAAAAAUUUAAUUAUAAUAUCAAAUUAGNNNNNNNNNNNNNNNNNNNNNNNNNNNNNNNNNNNNNNNNNNNNNNNNNNNNNNNNNNNNNNNNNNNNNNNNNNNNNNNNNNNNNNNNNNNNNNNNNNNNNNNNNNUUUUAUAUUUCUUAUUCAUAGUUUAUAAAUAAUUAAAUACUAUUUUUCUAAUGACUCUUUAAUAAUAAGUUUUUAAAAUUGUAUUUUAUAUUCAAUUUCCUUUGAACUAUAAAUGCAUGUGUCAAUCUGUUAGAAAAUUUAAGCCAACUUAUUCCAGACAAGCAGUAUAAAAUUUGAAACCACUUAUCUUAACUUUUCAUCAUUGUGUUAAUUAAAAAAAAAAAACCCUCUCAUGAAAUUUCUAAUCUGUCGCUGUCACAUUAUACUUGUAAUUGAAAUUAAAUAAGUAUUGUAUCUAUAAUCUUUUAAUAGUCUUAAUCUAAUUAAGAUUAAGUAUGUUAGUUACAUCUUAUUAAUAAUAUUGUAAAAAUGGAAUAUCGUUAAUAGUUUUUCGAAAUUCUGGUUUAGUGUAAAAUAUAUAUUUUAAAAAAUAUAAUAUAAGAAGAAUUUUGUAUGAGUUAUAAUAUGUAUCUAUAAAUUAAACGAAAUAAUUAACAAACAAUUAGAUUUAAAAUGUAUCUUUAUAAAUUAUACUUUAAUUUGUAUUUUUAUAAGAUAUACUUUCUAUAAAUAACUGUAAUUUUGUUACAAACAAAUGGCUAAUAACCAAGACAUUGUUAAUUUUUAUUAGAAUAGCACUAUAAUUGUUUAAUAUAAAUUAUAUAAAAAAAAACACAAAAUAGAUUGAAAAGUAAUCCGUAAUCCGUAUUCAAAAAAAAAAAAAAAAUGGGUAUUAGAAAUUAACUUUUAUAUUUUAGUGUCUCCACUUGUCUAUGUAUUGUUGCUACACUAACCUGGUGUUUUUAGCUUCUCAGUUGUAUAAAUUAAGCCUUCUUAUUUUGAGCCUAUUUCUUUUUGUUUAAUUUCGAAAUAUCUAAACAAAUUUUAGCUUUUUGUUUUGGAAAUGAUAAACGUAAUACAACAUUUGACAUGUUGAUAAAUGUAAAGAAAAAUAAAUAUAACCAGUUGAAUAGAUUACCAGAUCACUAAUGACUGAGAUUUCUUAAAUAAAAUAAACGGCUGAGAUUAUAUUAUACCUGCCUAUAAAAUAGAACUGAAAUUGCAAUGGUACCAAUACAUUACCCGCCUAUAAAAUAGAUAACUCAUAUAGAUAUAUGGAUGGUUAAGACUGCAUUGUACCGGUGAGUUUAAUAUAUGUUUUGAUGGAGCAGAAGAUGAGAGAAAAACACGACAAAAAGAAAGGAGAAAGAAAAAACUGAAAUUUAACCAUGCACGUGAAAGCUACAAAGGACUAAUGUCCUCAAACGGGUCAACUUGAUGGGAUAUAACCCCGCUUCCUAUUCCAGGCCUAUUACAUCAACUUUUAGACAUGUCUUAUUCUUUAUUUUCUUAUUACCCAUAUAUUUACUACACACAGUCGUACACAUAAUUUACUCUGCAAAGUACAUUCACUCGUUCAUUUAAUUUAGGGCUUCUCUUCACUUCUCUUAUUGUAGACACUUUCUACAACCGAUACCUCUUCCAUGAUGUCCACCAUCUCCACCCCAUCCACCUUGUUUGUCAUCAUUCACCAUGUUUGAUUCUUCUUCUUCUUUACGUGCAUAUUGUAUUAAGACAUAAAGCAUUUGAGUACCCAACAAACAAAGGAACUAUAAAAAUAAAAAUAAUUAGGACUAGUCAGAUAUGAUUAAAGGUACUGACCAUUUCCAGAGAUGUGUUGAUUUUGCAGGAGGGCAGCUUCUUGAGCACUCGAGCAAAACUUCACACAAGCAAAAGGAGGUACCGGCAUCACCAAGCAACAACGUGCAUUUGACAUUGUUUCAACUGCUGGAACUACUGCACAACCACC